GGAUGUGAGGGCGAUCUGGCUGCGACAUCUGUCACCCCAUUGAUCACCAGGGUUGAUUCGGCUGAUCUGGCUAGCUAGGCGGGUGUCGCCUUCCUCCCUCCCCGCUCCAUGUGCCUCCCUCCAGAAACUGCGCGCUUGGUCGAAGAGAAGGACCUUCUCUGAAGAAAGGAGGACCGGUCUUCGGCCAAGGGUCCAUGAGUAGCUGUGCUCCCCUGCUAGAGCCUCCAAACACGCUCUCAAGAUAAGACCUGAUUUCCAGAAAUCACCACCAAAGGCACUGAGGAAAUGAUAUUCCGGGCAGAUGCCAAGGCCUGAUGCAGGCAUAGCUUG
This 330-nucleotide small RNA is filed under the name Jaculus jaculus (lesser Egyptian jerboa). Its description in RNAcentral is "7SK RNA (ENSJJAG00000007914.1)". It matches the Rfam family "7SK RNA", at positions 1 to 252 of the family's 331-position model. From Rfam's summary of the family: 7SK was discovered as an abundant small nuclear RNA in the mid-70s but a possible function has only recently been suggested. Two independent studies have found that 7SK RNA binds the CDK9/cyclin T complex (known as elongation factor P-TEFb). P-TEFb activates transcription by phosphorylating the C-terminal domain of RNA polymerase II. Lineage: Eukaryota; Metazoa; Chordata; Mammalia; Rodentia; Dipodidae. The record is from Rfam by way of RNAcentral.